RNAcentral lists this small RNA (28 nucleotides) under Bombyx mori (domestic silkworm). RNAcentral describes it as "ovarian small RNA-4292". The record is from RNAcentral. Lineage: Eukaryota; Metazoa; Arthropoda; Insecta; Lepidoptera; Bombycidae.
AAGCUAUAGUCAGUGUCUCUAUGUGGUC